UUCAAGGUCAAAAGUCACAAAAAUAUCACUUAAUGUUUUAUCAAAAGUCACAAACUUAGGGUUUAGAGUUAAAGGGUGGGGUUUAAGAUUUGGGGUUUAGGGUUUAGGGUUUAGGGUUAAGGGUUUAGGGUUUAGAGUUUAGGGUUUAGGGUUUAGUGUUUAGGGUUUAGAGUUUAGAGUUUAGGGUUUAGGGUUUAGAGUUUAGGGAUUAGGGUUUAGAGUUUAGGGUUUAGGGUUUAGAGUUUAGGGUUUAGGGU
RNAcentral lists this long non-coding RNA (257 nucleotides) under Brassica napus (rape). RNAcentral's name for it is "long non-coding RNA (BNAP_LNC020710)". Lineage: Eukaryota; Viridiplantae; Streptophyta; Magnoliopsida; Brassicales; Brassicaceae. The record is from RNAcentral.